This is a non-coding RNA of Mycena rebaudengoi, 94 nucleotides long. The record is from the annotation of a GenBank genome assembly. Lineage: Eukaryota; Fungi; Basidiomycota; Agaricomycetes; Agaricales; Mycenaceae.
GCACCGGUGGUGCAUGGUGCACGUUGCCCCUAGGUAUGGAAUCCGUAUCUGUCGGAGUUUCAGGCAGACCGGGGUUCGAUUCCCCACUGGUGCA